Molecule: long non-coding RNA, 483 nt
Organism: Phragmites australis (common reed)
Lineage: Eukaryota; Viridiplantae; Streptophyta; Magnoliopsida; Poales; Poaceae
Exons: 3
Source: RefSeq, a predicted model, not a curated record
GCCCAGCCAGGCCCAAACCAGGAAGAGAUCGCCAGGAGAUCUCACCGGCGAUGAGAGCUCGGCUGACGGCGGCGGGGCGGCGGCGACGGCGCGACCAUGAGAAUGAGCUCGCUAGCCCAAAGGUCUGUGCACACUUGUGUUUGCGUCUUUGCGAUGUGAUGGAAUGUUGUGCUCCUUUAUUUAGUUCUGAAAACAAAUAUAAUACCUUCUCGCCAAGAGCAUCUUGAAGCAGGAGGGUAUCGCUAGACAUCCUAGAAACUGCCUGGCCUGUUGUCAAUUCUGUAUCGAAGAAUGCAAUAUCCUGCCUCAGGACCGCGUUAAGGUAUAAAGAACGGAUGCGGGCUGACUGUCUUUCUCCUGCCAUCGUCCAACAUGACACCUCUGGGCAAGUGAAAGAUUUCAGUGACACUGCUUUUAUGAAUCAGACAACACAAUGAAAUUCCACUUACGAAGGAAGGAGACAACUGCUGCUCCAAUGCCCAA